RNAcentral lists this ribosomal RNA (301 nucleotides) under uncultured bacterium. RNAcentral describes it as "partial 16S ribosomal RNA". It matches the Rfam family "Bacterial small subunit ribosomal RNA", at positions 509 to 807 of the family's 1533-position model. The record is from RNAcentral.
CAGUAGCCGCGGUAAUACAGAGGGUGCAAGCGUUAAUCGGAAUUACUGGGCGUAAAGCGCGCGUAGGUGGUUUGUUAAGUUGGAUGUGAAAUCCCCGGGCUCAACCUGGGAACUGCAUCCAAAACUGGCAAGCUAGAGUAUGGUAGAGGGUGGUGGAAUUUCCUGUGUAGCGGUGAAAUGCGUAGAUAUAGGAAGGAACACAAGUGGCGAAGGCGACCACCUGGACUGAUACUGACACUGAGGUGCGAAAGCGUGGGGAGCAAACAGGAUUAGAGACCCCCGUAGUCCCUGUCUCUUAUAC